GGCAAUCUAACAACGUCGCGCGGUCUAAUCAAAUCUGUCAGUUUGCUCAGCUGUCAAACGCGAAACUACUAAAAUGACUUCUCACUUUCAAUACAGAUACUAAAAAAAAAACGCUUAAAAACAAUUUUGAAUAUGACAGAGGCAAGAAAAUCGCAAAAAAACGAUAUGUCAAGAUCGAAAUCUUCAAUCACUUCUCGAAAUAUUGCGGGCGAUUUUAUGAACACCCUAUAGCAUAAGUUAAAAAAUAUAAAACAAGCAAUAUAUAUAUAAUACAAGUUUAUUCGUAAAUUCUGAAAAUAAUACGACCGUAAAUUCUCAUCAGUCUACAGUUCUUUACACCGUAGAUUGAUGAUCAAUCUUUUGAUCGCUAGUAUUCUAACAAUUAUGUUUCUGGGAUAUUCCGGUCUAGGUAAAAAGACAAAAUAAAGAAACUCUUUUCUGUCUCGUGAUUCAACAUAUCAACAACAACUUUGUUAUAUUAUAUUAAUAGAAGAAAAAAACUUAAAACAAAAAAAUUAAAAUUUGACAAUAUCUGAAGUGUAAAUUCUUUAUUAUUGAAUUAUCGCGGUUUUAUUG
Molecule: long non-coding RNA, 576 nt
Organism: Pseudomyrmex gracilis
Lineage: Eukaryota; Metazoa; Arthropoda; Insecta; Hymenoptera; Formicidae
Exons: 3
Source: RefSeq, a predicted model, not a curated record